UCCGAACUGGUGUAGAGGUAACAUUUGUCGCUCUCAUCUGCUAAGCAGUGAAGAUCCGACACGCCCGGGGUUCGAUUCCCCGGUUCGGAA
RNAcentral lists this transfer RNA (90 nucleotides) under Dissoconium aciculare CBS 342.82. RNAcentral's name for it is "tRNA-Glu". Lineage: Eukaryota; Fungi; Ascomycota; Dothideomycetes; Mycosphaerellales; Dissoconiaceae. The record is from RNAcentral.